GGGCCCGCACAAGCGGUGGAGCAUGUGGUUUAAUUCGAUGCAACGCGAAGAACCUUACCUACUCUUGACAUCCAGAGAACUUAGCAGAGAUGCUUUGGUGCCUUCGGGAACUCUGAGACAGGUGCUGCAUGGCUGUCGUCAGCUCGUGUUGUGAAAUGUUGGGUUAAGUCCCGCAACGAGCGCAACCCUUAUUGUUAGUUGCCAUCAUUCAGUUGGGCACUCUAGCAAGACUGCCGGUGACAAACCGGAGGAAGGUGGGG
RNAcentral lists this ribosomal RNA (260 nucleotides) under uncultured prokaryote. RNAcentral's name for it is "partial 16S ribosomal RNA". It matches the Rfam family "Bacterial small subunit ribosomal RNA", at positions 917 to 1178 of the family's 1533-position model. The record is from RNAcentral.